Molecule: long non-coding RNA, 1496 nt
Organism: Vicia villosa (hairy vetch)
Lineage: Eukaryota; Viridiplantae; Streptophyta; Magnoliopsida; Fabales; Fabaceae
Exons: 4
Source: RefSeq, a predicted model, not a curated record
UACUACUACAGUACAUAGUAUCUCUUUUUCUUAUACAGUACUCUACAAUAGCAUUUGAAUCUUCUUCUUUGAGUAAAAGGUGAUAGUCUUCAACCCAAACACUUGGAGAUAGAUUAAAGUUUUACAGCUAAGAUACAAAUUUCCUUAUAAUGGCAGCAAAGUAUGAUGAUUGAAUUGGCCAUGGGCCACACCAAAAUUGAGGUAUUAUCCAGAAGAAUAUGUUCACAGUUCAUGGCAGAGGCAGUGUCAUUUGUUUUGACAAAGACCCCAUAUGAGCAGCUCAAAAUAGGUGUCUUAUGUUGCAUCGAUAGAAGGAUUUCCAGUCUUGGACUGCUCUUCAAAAGUAUCAUAUUGAAGUUGACUUAGUCAAGAAAUAUAUAUCACAAAAGUAGUUGGAGAGCUUUAAAAGGACAAGGUACUUAAUUUGAUAUUGGAUCAAUUAUAUUUCUUAUAGCCAUGUUUAAUGAUACAAUAUCAGGUAAUUUUUGUAAUUUAGGAACAAAUAUUAGAGUUAAUUAAUGCCAUUAAGAUGAUGAAGUUAACAAAUAGUCUAUAAUACUCGUGCUUCGUUUACAAUAUCAAUUUUUUAUUUGAAAAUCUCAUGUAGGAUGAUGAAUAAUAUAAAAUGGUAUAUAAGUUGAAUUAAAUAUAUGGACAAAAAUUUUCAUCUUAGACAUUGAAGUAAAUACCUUAUUUAAUUUCGGAGAGAUGAAAUUUAGUUUUAUAGAGAUAGAAUUUGGAGACAUGAUACAUUUAAUGUAGACAGAAAUAUCUGUCUCUAUAGAGACAUAAAUGAAUUUUUACUGGUUAGUUGGGAGAGAUGGAAGUUAUUAUCUGGCGACAGACAAAUUUCGUCCCCAAAUUUAGAAGGAAAUAAAAAAUUCGUUGCUGACACAUUAAAACAAUAUGUUAAGUAGGGAUCAUUUUUGUGUCUGAGUUCUUCUUCAAAUAUGUUGGAAACAAAAUUAAACAUUUUAGACAUAAAUUCAUGUCGUCUCUGCUCUCGGUUUUCUUAGUAGUUGAUUGCACCAAUAGUAUUUUGUACUCCACAAUGAAUCCAGAGUUGUAUAAAUUCAUAUUAUAUGGUGCUGAGAGCCGCAUCACAAAAUGCCUAUUUCUCAAUUUUUUUAUGGCAGAAGUGUACUUCAACGGAGAUAAACCCCCCUGUUGAGUUCCGUCAUUCUGAUGAAACCACAUCUCACCAAUUUGACAUCCAAGUUGAUUAAAUUAUUGCCUAAAAGAUCAAUUUUCAUGAAGCUUAAGGAAUGGUGAAAUACAAACUUAUUAAGUUGAAGGGCGAUGAAGAUCAUGUGGAGAUUAUUUUUUCGUAAGCUAAGUAAGGGUUCAAUGAAGUUAGAUGCGAAGAAUUCAAGAUUUGUCGACGACAUAAUUAAUAUGUUGAAACGUCAAAAUCUAGGAUGUAUGGUUUAGGUUUUAGAGAUUAUUUAGGGUUUAGGGUUUAAGGGUUUAGGUUUUAGAGAUUAUUUAGGGUUUAG